CCAGGCUUUUUCCGCUACGCUUAGCGAGGGGCGUAGCGGAAAGAGCCUGGAU
RNAcentral lists this microRNA precursor (52 nucleotides) under Paramuricea clavata. The record is from RNAcentral. Lineage: Eukaryota; Metazoa; Cnidaria; Anthozoa; Malacalcyonacea; Plexauridae.